AUCCAGCUGAAGAGUCCCAAAUAAAUUGAGACGCGCGUCCUGUAU
This 45-nucleotide non-coding RNA is filed under the name Schistosoma margrebowiei. The record is from RNAcentral. Lineage: Eukaryota; Metazoa; Platyhelminthes; Trematoda; Strigeidida; Schistosomatidae.